AUUGAACGCUGGCGGCAGGCCUAACACAUGCAAGUCGAACGAGUGGCGGACGGGUGAGUAAUGUCUGGGAAACUGCCCGAUGGAGGGGGAUAACUACCGGAAACGGUAGCUAAUACCGCAUACCAUCUGAUGUGCCCAGAUGGGAUUAGUUAGUGGGUGGGGUAAAGGACCACCUAGGCGACGAUCCCUAGCUGGUCUGAGAGGAUGACCAGCCACACUGGAACGGAGACACGGUCCAGACUCAUACGGGAGGCAGCAGAGGGGAAAAUUGCACAAGGGGCGCGAGCCUGGUGCAGCCAUGCCGCGUGUAUGAAGAAGGGCUUCGGGUUGUAAAGUACUUUCUGCGGGGAGGCGUUACCAGCAGAAGAAGCACCGGCUAACUCCGUGCCAGCAGCCGCGGUAAUUC
RNAcentral lists this ribosomal RNA (406 nucleotides) under uncultured bacterium. Its description in RNAcentral is "partial 16S ribosomal RNA". It matches the Rfam family "Bacterial small subunit ribosomal RNA", at positions 29 to 526 of the family's 1533-position model. The record is from RNAcentral.